This 306-nucleotide ribosomal RNA is filed under the name uncultured bacterium. RNAcentral's name for it is "partial 16S ribosomal RNA". It matches the Rfam family "Bacterial small subunit ribosomal RNA", at positions 505 to 808 of the family's 1533-position model. The record is from RNAcentral.
GACAGAGCCGCCGCGGGAAUACGUAGGGUGCAAGCGUUAAUCGGAAUUACUGGGCGUAAAGCAUGCGCAGGCGGUUAUAUAAGACAGAUGUGAAAUCCCCGGGCUCAACCUGGGAACUGCAUUUGUGACUGUAUAGCUAGAGUACGGCAGAGGGGGAUGGAAUUCCGCGUGUAGCAGUGAAAUGCGUAGAUAUGCGGAGGAACACCGAUGGCGAAGGCAAUCCCCUGGGCCUGUACUGACGCUCAUGCACGAAAGCGUGGGGAGCAAACAGGAUUAGAUACCCCCGUAGUCCCUGUCUCUUAUACA